AGCAUUGUACUUUAAUUUAAAAGGUAAGAUUUGCGUUCUUAAAAUGGUAUUUAUAUCUAAUGCUG
RNAcentral lists this transfer RNA (65 nucleotides) under Latona dysoni. RNAcentral's name for it is "tRNA-Ala". The record is from RNAcentral. Lineage: Eukaryota; Metazoa; Arthropoda; Branchiopoda; Diplostraca; Sididae.